CGUUACUGUUAAUAAAAGAGGCAUAAUCAAAGAAUUUUAAAAGAAGAAAACGAACAAGUCUAAAAUGUCUAGCGAUAGUGAUGAAUUAAUGUGCACGCCGCCGGAGAUAAUUGAAAAGAUAUGAAAUCGUCUACCAAAAAUUUAUGGAAUGGAAAAUAAAAAAUAAAGUAAAUUCGUUGUCAGAAAACGUAAUGUUGGCAUA
Zophobas morio is the source of this 202-nucleotide long non-coding RNA. RefSeq lists it as uncharacterized. NCBI's taxonomy places the organism in Eukaryota, Metazoa, Arthropoda, Insecta, Coleoptera, Tenebrionidae. The record is from RefSeq and is a predicted model, not a curated record. The transcript has 3 exons.